UGGGGAAUUUUGGACAAUGGGCGAAAGCCUGAUCCAGCAAUGCCGCGUGUGUGAAGAAGGCCUUCGGGUUGUAAAGCACUUUUGUCCGGAAAGAAAUCCUUGGCUCUAAUACAGUCGGGGGAUGACGGUACCGGAAGAAUAAGCACCGGCUAACUACGUGCCAGCAGCCGCGGUAAUACGUAGGGUGCAAGCGUUAAUCGGAAUUACUGGGCGUAAAGCGUGCGCAGGCGGUUUGCUAAGACCGAUGUGAAAUCCCCGGGGCUCAACCUGGGAACUGCAUUGGUGACUGGCAGGCUAGAGUAUGGCAGAGGGGGGUAGAAUUCCACGUGUAGCAGUGAAAUGCGUAGAGAUGUGGAGGAAUACCGAUGGCGAAGGCAGCCCCCUGGGCCAAUACUGACGCUCAUGCACGAAAGCGUGGGGAGCAAAACAGGAUUAGAUACCCUGGUAGUCCACGCCCUAAACGAUGUCGACUAGUUGUUGGGGACUUCAUUUCCUUAGUAACGUAGCUAACGCGUGAAGUUGACCGCC
Molecule: ribosomal RNA, 528 nt
Filed under: uncultured bacterium
Lineage: Bacteria
Description: partial 16S ribosomal RNA
Rfam family: Bacterial small subunit ribosomal RNA
Source: RNAcentral